RNAcentral lists this long non-coding RNA (490 nucleotides) under Arabidopsis lyrata. Its description in RNAcentral is "long non-coding RNA (ALYR_LNC000981)". The record is from RNAcentral. Lineage: Eukaryota; Viridiplantae; Streptophyta; Magnoliopsida; Brassicales; Brassicaceae.
AAUGUCAAUUCCUAGUACCAAAGUUCUAUCCAUUAAUGCACAAAGAAUCAACUAUCAGGGAUCAUGAUUACUGCUCUAAUAGGGAAACGGACGUAUAAAUCAAAACCACAUCGGUAUCAAGGAUAUACCUUUUGAUGAUGGAGUCCGACCUUGUGUGGAUCCUGGUUUGGGGAAACACACAACGAUACAAAAUAUAAUCAGAGUCUAACUACUGAAGCCAUAAUUCCAAGGCCUAAGAAGAGGUAUAAAAAGGAAAAAAAACCCCCACCAUCAAGUCAUAUCAGCAUUGGUCUGCUUAGUAUCCUCACCAUCCCUUGUCAAGUGUCAACAAAAAGAGAAAAAUGUGCCAAACAAUCUAAAAAAAAAAAUGAAAAACACAAUCAAUGGAAUGCUAAGAAGAGGAAGCCAGAUUCAUAAGAGAGACACGAUCAAACCGACAAAACCAACUUAGUUUCAAAACGGGUGUCACAUUAAGACACAGAUUCAUUAG